CGGGGGGGCGCACAAGCAGCGGAGCAUGUGGUUUAAUUCGAAGCAACGCGAAGAACCUUACCAAGGCUUGACAUAUACAGGGAUAUCCUAGAGAUAGGAUAGUCUUUUCGGAGACUUGUAUACAGGUGGUGCAUGGUUGUCGUCAGCUCGUGUCGUGAGAUGUUGGGUUAAGUCCCGUAACGAGCGCAACCCUUAUCUUUAGUUACUAGCGAGUAAAGUCGAGGACUCUAGAGAGACUGCCGGUGAUAAACCGGAGGAAGGUGGGGAUGACGUCAAAUCAUCAUGCCCUAUAUGUCUUGGGCUACACACGUGCUACAAUGGUCUGAACAAAGCGCAGCUACCUCGUGAGAGCAAGCGAAUCGCAUAAAACAGAUCUCAGUUCGGAUUGCAGGCUGCAACUCGCCUGCAUGAAGUCGGAGU
This 420-nucleotide ribosomal RNA is filed under the name Helcococcus kunzii. RNAcentral describes it as "bacterial SSU rRNA". It matches the Rfam family "Bacterial small subunit ribosomal RNA", at positions 914 to 1332 of the family's 1533-position model. The record is from RNAcentral. Lineage: Bacteria; Bacillati; Bacillota; Tissierellia; Tissierellales; Peptoniphilaceae.